RNAcentral lists this long non-coding RNA (500 nucleotides) under Heterocephalus glaber (naked mole-rat). RNAcentral's name for it is "lncRNA (ENSHGLG00000033783.1)". Lineage: Eukaryota; Metazoa; Chordata; Mammalia; Rodentia; Bathyergidae. The record is from RNAcentral.
UGGGAAUCAGGGCUCUGAGCCCCAGCAUGGGCUCCGCUGGGCCACAGAUGUCAUUUACAGAACUCAAAUGUCCUAGACACCUCAGAGCACUACGGGCCAAUGUGGAGCCAGUGACUGCAGACCUGCAGGCUCGAGGACUCCCCUGCCUGCUCCUCAGCUGCCAGGAGAAAAUACCGUUGCUAUGAAGCAAUGUGCCAUGACUGGGUGUGGUCUGCCCACCAGACUCCAUGUGUUAGAAGCGUGGGUGGUGAUGCUGAGAGGUGGUGAGACCUUGAAAAGGUAAGAUCUGAUGGGAGGUAGUUGGGCGCCACACUUGGGAUUAAUGCGGGUGUCAGGGCGCUGGAUUAGUUCCGUAGGCAAUGGGUUGCUCUAAAGUGACUUUGGCUGUUUUCUCUAUUUUCUCUCUCGCUUCCUCUUUGGGCAAGUGACCUCUCUUUCUUCCACAUACUCUCUGGACAGUCUGUCUACCUUGAGGCCCUCACCAGGAGCCAGUAACAGCA